RNAcentral lists this ribosomal RNA (407 nucleotides) under uncultured Desulfobulbus sp. RNAcentral describes it as "bacterial SSU rRNA". It matches the Rfam family "Bacterial small subunit ribosomal RNA", at positions 983 to 1381 of the family's 1533-position model. The record is from RNAcentral. Lineage: Bacteria; Pseudomonadati; Thermodesulfobacteriota; Desulfobulbia; Desulfobulbales; Desulfobulbaceae.
GACAUCCCGGAGACCCGUUAGGAAACAGGGGGUGGCUUCCAUCUGGAAGAAUCUGGAGACAGGUGCUGCAUGGCUGUCGUCAGCUCGUGUCGUGAGAUGUUGGGUUAAGUCCCGCAACGAGCGCAACCCUUGCCUUUAGUUGCCAGCAGUUCGGCUCGGGCACUCUAAAGGGACUGCCGGUGUUAAACCGGAGGAAGGUGGGGAUGACGUCAAGUCCUCAUGGCCUUUAUGACCAGGGCUACACACGUACUACAAUGGCCGAUACAAAGGGCAGCGACACUGCGAGGUGAAGCCAAUCCCGUAAAAUCGGUCUCAGUCCGGAUUGGAGUCUGCAACUCGACUCCAUGAAGUUGGAAUCGCUAGUAAUCGUGGAUCAGCAUGCCACGGUGAAUACGUUCCCGGGCCUC